CAUAUCACCCAAACCACAGAAGGAAACAAAACAAAGAGAUGGACAAAGAACUUAAAAACGGGAGAUAAGAAGAUAACCAGCUUGAGGUUCAAAAUCAAAGUCACGUGAAGGUGGUACAUGUACGGAAAGAAAGACAGAAAACCGAACAUGGGCUACUGAGCUGCCCCUCACAAUCCCCAUAAAAGCACCAAGUUCAUAGCAACCAAAUCAGUGAGGUAAAAAUAGAAAAGAAAAUGAGCCGUCCACAUAUUUUGGUAAUGCCAGCUCCAGCACAAGGCCAUGUAAUUCCUUUACUGGAGUUUUCACAAUGUCUGGCAAAACAUGGCUUCCGAGUCACAUUUGUUAACACGGAUUACGAUCACAAGCGGGUAGUGGAAUCAUUGGAGGGAAAGAAUGAUCUUGGGGAGCAAAUCCAUUUGGUUUCGAUACCAGAUGGAAUGGAACCCUGGGAAGAUAGAAACGAUUUGGGAAAGCUAACUGAAAAGUUUUUACAGGUUAUGCCGGGGAAGCUGGCGGAGCUCAUAGAAGAGAUCAACAGUAGAGAAGAUGAAAAACUUGAUUGUUUCAUUGCAGAUGGGUACAUGGCUUGGUCUAUGGAAGUAGCAAAAAAGAUGAACGUCAGGGGGGCUCUCUUUUGGCCUUCAUCAGCAGCAUCAGUGGCCCUGCUAUUUCAUAUCCCCAAACUUAUUGAUGAUGGAAUCAUUGACAGUCAUGGUAUGAUUCCAUGUCAUCUAAUUCCUUACUUUCCUCCAGCAAACUUUAAUUUUGAUGCAUGUCAUAGUAGAAGUUUACUUUAUGCUACUGUUAUUUUCUUUGUUUUGUAUUCAACUUCAGGAACUCCUAUGAGCAAGCAGAUGUUUCGGAUUGCACCAAAUAUGCCUGAAAUGAACUCUGGGGACUGUUUUUGGACAGAUAUGGGUGAUUUGACCACGGAGAGAAUUCUUUUUGAUUUAGCGGAUAAAGACUUAAAAGCCAUGAGAGCGGUAAAUUUCCAGUUGUGUCACUCAACGUAUGAGCUCGAGGCUGGGGCAUUCACCGUGGUUCCGGACCUUCUGCCAAUAGGACCACUUUUGGCAAGCAACCGUCUAGGGAAUACAGCAGGACACUUCUGGCGCGAAGACUCAAGCUGUUUGGAGUGGCUAGACCAACAGCAACCAAGCUCUGUCAUUUACGCUGCUUUUGGCAGCUUUACAAUUCUUGACCAAGUUCAGUUUCAAGAAUUAGCAUUGGGACUAGAACUUUGCAACAGACCAUUUUUAUGGGUUGUGAGGCCAGAUAUUACCACCGAUGCAAAUGAUAGAUACCCAGAAGGAUUUCAAGAGAGAGUUGCUGCUCGAGGACGGAUGAUCGGCUGGGCAACUCAGCAGAAGGUUCUUAACCACCCUUCUAUUGCCUGUUUCCUGAGCCAUUGUGGUUGGAAUUCCACCAUGGAAGGUGUCAGCAAUGGCAUUCCUUUCUUGUGCUGGCCAUAUUUUGCUGAACAAUUCCUGAACGAGAGAUACAUUUGUGAUAUUUGGAAGGUGGGAUUGAGGUUUGACAAAAACGAAAGUGGCAUCAAUGGAAGAGAAGAAAUUAAGAACAAGGUGGAGCGAGUGCUCGGUGAUCCAGAUUUUAAAGCAAGGGCUUUGGAACUCAAGGAAAAAGCCAUGAGUAGCGUCAGAGAAGGUGGUUCCUCUCGCAAGACAUUUCAGAAUUUCCUUCAAUGGGUAAAGACAAACACCCUAGCUCAUAAUUCCCCGGUAAUGGGCGGUUAAUUCAAAAAAUACUACCUUCGUGGACAAUUAUAUAAGGAUUCCUUGGCCAUUGUAACAUCUACUUUUUCAGUUUUUUUAUUAAGUUUAUAGAGUUCAGGAAUAUUUUAUUUAACCGAGUUUUAAUUUAAUUUGUUUUCCUAUUUUAUUUAUUAUUAGCUUAUGAGAAGAUACUGGUCAGAUUAGCGGUUAAAAAACUGAGAUAGGAUGCUGGUGUGGGAGGAGACUAAGCCUAAAAGUAGCCGAUAUAAUAUUUAGAUCAAGCUCGAAAUCAUGUUAUUGUUUCUUUUUAUUUUAAGAGGAUGACAUACCUUUUUAUUGUUUCAUACGCCUUGCUGCAGAUGAAGGAAUCUGCACCAGGAAUUCGAUCAGUGCUGUGCAAAAGAAGGGAUGAGGAAAAUUGCAAUCAUAUGAAACAUUUUGAUCAGCAGGAGUUGUAGCAGAGUGCGAUGCUAAAAUAUGCAUUGCUGUAAAAGAGAGAAGAAAAAUAAGUUAAAACGAAUGAUAACGAAAUGCCUUCUUACAUAUGAACAAACCGGGGCAAAUUGAAUUCUUGAAAGUGUCAGCACCAGCUGGCCAUGCAAAUAUUUAUUGAUCACCGUUCUAUUAUAUAGCCAAUUCAGCUCCUUUUUUUAACUUCACAAAGCAACGUGCAAAUUGGUCCUAAUAUUUGAAUAUGGCAGCGGCAGCAGCAGAAAGAAAACAUGAGGCUCUAAGAGAUGAUCAAGGAAUGUCGGUAUCGGUAGAAGAUCACGAAGUGAAUGAAGACAUACCUGAGGCACACGAUGCUGCAAUGAAAAUUGAGAGGGCCAAGGGAACUUACAUGGCCUACUCAGGGCUGCGAGAAAAGCCAUCGAGGCUUGAAAUUUGAACACUUCAAUGUCACAACGGUUGUGCCGGCUGUUUUUCCUCACAUCAUCAGUGAACUUGUCUCUAAAAAUGAUGAUGGUGAUGAUCAAGGUUGGGGACAAACCCCAAGUUGGGCAUUGCUUGUAUUCUCAGAGAGAUCAAACUGUAGUUCUUUUUCUAGCUACAUCUAUUGCUACUUAGUAGAACAUUCAAUCAAAAUUCUAUAUAUACAAAGAACAUGAGUGUAACUUACACAAAAAGUUGGAUUAAAGAUCGAAUUGAUUCCAAGAUUCUUAGCACAAAAAGAGUAAAAAACGUAGAAGAUGCAAUUAUGCAUAUUUAAUUUUAUUAAGGGAGAAUGAAUUUCUCAUUCUUAGUUUUACCUUUUGGCUCAAAAUAUUGACAAGAAAAAAAUAUUGUUUUAAGGAUAAAUGUGAAUUUUUCAUAUACAAAGAGAUUUACUAAUUAUGCUAUAAAAAAUUUAUCUGAACCCAAGGAACAAAAACAACUUCUUAGUGGGAAUAAAGUUUCAUUCAUUCUCCUUUAAUUAAAUCAUUAGUCGAACUCUUACUUUUUAUUAAUUAUUUCUUAAACUUGAGUGACCACGGGUAUAAAGUGCAUUCAUGGCCAGUCAAACUAGACAUAUGGUCAGUUUUGAAUGUGUCCAUAUUUAGUAUUUUGAAAUAUUUUUCAUAUAUUGCAGGUAUGAUUGACUAACACACACAUCAAUAUCAACGAACAAUCUGAAUCUCUCAGCAAUGGAAUGGACUUCAAUUUCAUGGACUUCAAUUUCAUUUCAAUUUCAAUUUCAAUUUCAUAUUUUCUGGCUAGUCCCUUCCUUGGCUUGAUCUCCAAGCAACUUGACCAUGGCUACAACCCACAACUCAUUGCUAGGGCUGCAACUGCCAUCUGUCCCCUCUUUUGUCUCCCUGUUGGCUUCAUUAAAACCCCAUACAUCUUCCUAUUUUAUAUUGCAGCUAUUGUUGCAUUAUACAUUGUUGCUUCAGCCUCCCACACUCGCCAUCUUGGCCUUAUGGUUCGCCGCUACACUGGACGACCAACACUUAAACUCUGAAAAUUCCCUACUAGAAGAGGCGUCUCUGGCUGGUUCUCGGUAUACGCCACUGCUGCUGGUGGCUUAGGCUCUGCCAUUUUCUCUGCUUUCACUUACCAUAUGCUUAGGAACAAAAAUGACCCAUUUGAUAGCCUCUGGGUUGUGUCCAUUUUCAGUGGCCUCAAAUGGCUCGUUGGUAUGCUCCAUGUUGUCACACUAAGGCCAGUGGCAAUCACCAACACGACUUCCUCUGUGCCCAAAUCAUAUUUCCUGUCCCUUUUCAAAUAUCCUUAUGCGAUUGCAAGCCUAAUUGUGAUCUUCAUGUCAUCAUUUUCAUCCACGUGCAUUUUCACUGGGGGGUUAUUGUUUUUACUGGGUCAAUUGUGCCUUAAGCCAAUAUUCUUCCUCUACUUCUGGUUAAUUUACUUCAUCUUCCCAUCAUUUUCAAUGCCAUUACUGCAACCAUUACAGCAUGUUAUCAAAGCAGAUGCUGUGAGAAUGCAACUUCUAGGUUUCCUCUUAGCUCUGUUGACUUCAGGUAUGGGAUUCUACUACAAGGAAAAGAACUGGCAGAGGCACCAUGUACUGCUUUUUGCUGCCAUUCAAAGCACUUCUGCAGGGCUUUUGCAUGCUUUCGGGAGAGUUUUGUUGUUAGAUUGUACACCACAUGGCAAAGAAGGUGCUUUUUCUGUAUGGCACUCGUGGGUAAAAGCACUAGGAACUUGUACUGGCUUUGCUGUGGCAUCAGCGAUCAGGGGAAAUGUGAGCACUGCUUUUGGGGUUUCAUUUUUGGCUGCUACGAUCGAGAUUCUUAUUUUGAUUUUUGGGAACAUCAGUGAUGUUGGUGGAGCCAUGGCUGCUGGGCAUCUUUAUGAAGAUAGUGAGAAGGGAUCCCCAGUGCCUGGUUUAGAUACCAGCAUUAUUAUAAAGGAACAUGCUCAGCCUCACGAAGAAACUGCUUAAGUAAUGCAAGUGAACUUUCGCAAAUAGUCAAUUCUGUUAUCUUUUAUAAGUAAAUAACUAAGGCAUAUAUGAUUUUCAUUUUUUCAUCCUUUUUUAAUUUGGUUCUUUUUUUCUCUUUUGGUUGAAUAAGUAUAUCCCACAUUCUGUUAACUGUAAACAACUUCUUGUGUGCCUUUUACACUUUUAUUGGUCAUUGCUUUGAAUUAAUGUAAUAUUGAUUUAACUGAAAUGAUAAUUCUUUUUUUUUUUGUGACCUUAUCAUUUCCUAAACUCGUUUAAUUAACUGGCAUAUUAACUUAUGUGACAUUGGUAUAUAAAAUUCUAUCAAUAAAAUUGUAUGCACUAUAGCAAUACGCGUAAUGACACCAAUUUUUUUAUGCACAGGCAUUGCCUUCCAAGUGAGAGGCAAGGCCAGCUGGGCUGCAGGCUUAGGGUGCGUUUGAGAUUGAGGUGCUGUAGCUUUUAAGCUACAGCUGCUGUGAAAAAAAAGCUGUAAUUAUGAAACAAAAGUUAAUAAUAUAUAGUAAAUAUAAAUUUUAAAUAAUAAUUUUGAUAAAAUUAUUAAAGAUAUAAUAAAUUUUUUAUUAUACAAGUGAAAAAUCAUAUCAACAUAGCUUAAAAGUUACAGCAGCUAGUGUUUACCAAACACUUUAGUGCUGUAGCUUUUAAGCUACAGCUGCCCAACCUCAAUCCCAAACGCACCCUUAAUCACUGUUUUGUAAUCUGUAAAACGUUGAGAUCAAUAAUUCCCACGCGGAGGACAAAAGCAGCAAAAGAAAACUGCAUCUGUUGACUUUUGAAAAUAUUUCGAAGCCUUUGCCUCACUUGAAAUGCUUUGUGAACACAGGAAGUUGUAUAAAAAAUAUCUUUUCAUUGAAAAAAAUAAAAUAAACUAAUAAUAAUAUAACUUUUCUAAUAUUUUAAUGUGGAUAUCAAAAAAAUUAUAGGAAAAUAUCCACCGUCCACUUAUUUUUUCCAACUUUUUCAAAAAUACAUUUUUUUUUGCUGGAUUCCACCUAAAGUUAUAUUUUGUUUCACUUUUCCACUUCCGUUUGGAAUCCGUUAAGAAAACUAACGGAAACUUAAAAAAAUGAUAAUUUUACGUCCAAAAUGAAAAUUACAAUUUCACCCUAAAAAAUGCAAAAAAUAAUCAGAUUUAAUAAUAAAUAUCAUUAUUGGUAUGUUAGUGAAGUACAAAAAAAUCUUAACUACUAGAGAUUAUAACUCAAUGAAUAAUAAAACUCUACUUAUCUUAAAUUCAAUUGGUGGUUUACGAGAUUAGGCUAUUUUUAAUACUGCUGUUAUAAUUUAGCAUUCUAAUUACAGACAUAUUUUUUUUAAAAAAAACUACAUUUGAUGGUUGUAGAGUUAAUUUCUUUAUUGACCGAUGGAGAAAAUAAUCAGAGUUUGAAUAGUACGCUCUGACUGUCCAUCAGUCUGUGGAUGAAAAGCUGUACUGAAGUUCAACUUGGUGCCUAAGGCAUUUUGCUAGCUAGUCUAGAACUUAGAAGUAAACCGGGAAUCUCUAUUUGAGACUAUGGACACAGGUACUCCGUGAAGUCGAACUAUUUCAGCCACAUAAAUACUCCCCAACUUGUCCAUCGAGUAAGUGGUCUUGAAAGGUAAGAAAUGAGCAGAUUUUGUAAGUCGGUCAACAACCACCCAAACACCAUCAUGUCCUUUCUGAGUACGUGGAAGUCCCGCUACAAAAUCCAUGGUGAUGUGCUUCCACUUCCACUCAGGAAUAUGAUGCGGCUGAGAACACCCUGCAGGCCUCUGGUGUUCAGCUUUAAUCUGCUGACAGACUAAACAUCGAGAAACAAAUUUUGCUAUCUCUCUCUUCAUGCCCUGCCACCAGUAAUGAUCCCUUAGGGUACGAUCCAUCUUCGUACUACCAAGAUGCAUCGCAUAUGCUGAACAAUGAGCUUCUUCCAUAAUCUCUUCUUUCAGAUAUUUAAUACCAGGUACACAGAGUCUAUUACCCAUGACUAAGACACCCUCAUCUCUCACCAUAAAAUCGGUUCAUAAACUUUUCUGCACAUCAUCUUUCAACUUUAUUAAUUGUGGGUCUUGAUCUUGCAUCUGGUGAACUUUGUCAAUCAAAGUCGGCCUAACUCAAAAAUUAGCUAUCAAAGCUCCACGAUUGUCAGCGUUCAACUCGACUCCCAAAGAUCUCAACUCGAUCAACAGAGGCACAUAUUUCACUCGCAAGUGAGCUAUAGAGCUGUAAGACUUUCUACUUAGUGCAUCAGCUACCACAUUUGCUUUGCCCGGAUGAUAAUCGAUAGUGCAAUCGUAGUCCUUAAUCAGCUCGAUCCAUCUCCUCUGUCUCAAAUUCAACUCAUUCUGAGUAAACAAAUACUUCAAGCUCUUAUGAUCAGUGAAAAUUUGGCACGUUGCCCUAUAUAAGUAAUGUCGCCAUAUCUUGAGUGCAAACACCACUGCUGCGAGCUCUAAGUCAUGUGUUGGGUAGUUUCGUUCAUGCUCUUAAGUUGUGUAGAAGCAUAAGCCACCACUUUCCCAUGCUACAUCAAUACACAACCCAAUCCCUGCCUAGAGGCAUCGUUGUAAACCACAAAUCCUUCAUUACCAGAUGGAAGUGUAAGAACUGGUGCUGAGGUCAAACGUGUCUUAAGUUCUUGAAAACUCUUCUCAUAGUUAUCAUCCCACUGGAAUUUAGCAUUCUUUCUGGUUAACUGUGUCAGAGGAGUAGCAAUCUUGGAGAAUCCUUCCACAAAUCUACGAUAGUAACCGGCUAAUCCAAGAAAACUCCGAACCUCUAUGACAUUUGUAGGCCGUUCUCAUUUCACAACUGCUUCAAUCUUUUGAGGAUCAACAUAAAUGCCUUCAGCUGAUAUCACAUGGCCCAAAAAUACUACUCUAUCCAACCAGAACUUGCAUUUGCUAAACUUGGCAUACAAUUGCUUCUGUCUCAAAGUCUGUAAAAUAGUCCGCAAAUGCUCUGCAUGCACCUCCUCGCUUCGGGAAUACACUAAGAUAUCAUCAAUGAAUACAAUCACAAACAGAUCCAAGUACGGGCGAAAUACCAUGUUCAUCAGGUCCAUAAAAGCAGCUGGGGCAUUUGUCAACCUAAAUGGCAUCACUAAGAACUCAUAGUGCCCAUAACGGGUUCUAAAAGCUGUUUUAGGAACGUUGACAUCUUUAAUUCUAAGCUGAUGGUAACCCGAGCGCAAAUCGAUCUUAGAAAAUAUUUUUGCCCCUUGGAGUUGAUCAAACAAGUCAUCAAUACGCGGAAGUUGAUACUUAUUGCGUACCGUAACUUUAUUCAACUGUCUGUAGUCGAUGCAGAGUCUAAAAGUCCCAUCUUUUUUCUUAACAAACAAGACUGGAGCUUCCCACGAGGACACACUAGGUCUAAUAAACUCUUUCUCCACCAACUCUUGCAAUUGAACCUUCGGUUCCUUCAAUUCUGCUGGAGCCAUUCUGUACGGUGCCAUAGAUAUUGGAGAUGUUCCAGGGACUAAGUCAAUAGAAAACUCAACUUCUCUGUUAGGUGGCAUCCCAGGAAGUUCAUUUGGAAAUACAUCUGGAAAUUCUUUAAGUACUGUAAUAUCCUCCACUCUCAAUUCUCGAGCUUCUGUAUCUAUCACAUGAGCUAAAUAAGCUGAGCAUCCUUUUCUUAACAACCGUCUUGCACUAAUAGUAGAUAUAACACAUGAUGGUAGAACUUUGCGCUCCCUACAGAAUUUCACCUCAGCUUUCUUUGGCUUUUUAAACACAACGUCCUUUUUGAAACAAUCCACCGUAGUAUAAUGAGAUUCAAGCCAAUCCAUGCCUAAAAUAGCAUCAAAGUCAUAAAUAUCUAAGGAAAUCAAAUUUGCCUCAAAUUCAUGUUCACCCAUUUCAAUCAUACAAUCUCGAUACACACUCUCAGCAAGUAAUGACUCUCCGGUAGGUGUAUGAACAACUAAAUCACAAUCUAGCAGUUCGGGCUCUCGCCCUAUGUGCAUAACAAAAGUACGAGAAACAAAAGUGUGUGUGGAUCCAGGAUCAAUAAGAAUAUGAGCCUCGCGGCCAAGGAUAGAUAAUAUACCCAUAAUAACUUCUAGUGCAGCACGUGCUUCCUGCUGCGUCAAAGUAAAAACGCGAGCCUGAGUAUGAGGUCGACCAGGCUGACCUCUCAGACCUGGAGCAGUCGUCUGACUCCUAAAGGUAGAUGUAGAACCUCAUGUCUGCACUCCUUUCUGACCCUGAGUCUGGCCAGAGUAAGGCCGAUACCGUGAGGCUGUCCCUCCUGUAGAGCUAUCACCCUGAGAUAAAGUAGGGCAGAAUCUCCUGAUGUGUCCAGGUUGACCACACAAAUAACAAACUCUGUCUCCAACAUGACAUUGGCCCUGAUGAUUCCUACCACAUGAAGGGCAAGAAGUCUGCUGGAAACUCCUAGAACGAUCAUCACGAUAUCCCCCACCACUGCGGUCGUACUGUCCCUGAUUCCUGGUAUUACUCCCCACUAACGGUUGCACAGAGCUGUGACUGAUAGCCUGUCUCGAGUCUCCCCAAAAGCCUGUACGCUAACUCCUUUGCGUACUAUCAGAAUAACUCGUAGGAAUACCCCCUCUCUUGGGCGGCCUACUACUAGAGUCACCCUCUGCCCAGCUCUGGCUACGCUUCUGCUUCAGUGCAUGAAAUCUAUGUCCUUCUGAAAUACUGUGCUCUACUCUCCUGGCUGCCUCAACUACCUCACCAAACUCAGUAUAUCGUGAUGCAGUCACGGUGGUGCGAAUCUCAAAUCGGAGGCCAUCCUCGAACCGUCUGUAUCUCUCUCUCUCAUCACCGACUACAGAUGUAGCAAAUCUAGAGAGGUCUAAAAAUUUCCUCUCAUACUCCUCAACUGUCAGAGAUCCCUGAACCAACCGAAAGAAUUCACUCCGUUUAAUAUCCUGAUAUACAACAGGAAAAUAAUGAUCGUAGAAUUCCUUGCGGAAAAUAGCCCAAGUAAUCGCAGCAUGCCUCUGAUAUCGUCUCUCCACAGUCGGCCACCAAUGGUAAGCUCUAUCCUCGAGCAAGAAAGUGGCGAAGGAUAAUCUAUCAUCCUCUGAACAGUUCAUCACAUCAAAAAUACAUUCUAACUUAACAAACCAUGACUCAGCCUCAGGUGGUUCUCCAGAACCAUUAAAGCUCUUCGCCCCUAAACUCCUCACUCGCUCAAUAGUGUUUGCGGUACCGACAUGCGCUUGAGUAUGAUUUUGCACAACUGUAGUCAUGAUCUGAGCCAGCUUAUCAAAUGACUGCUCAAUAUUUGGGGCAUUCCCCGGUGCCUGUUGUGCAAUUUCAUGCGUAGAGGAUUCAACUAUCCCCUCAUUCGCGCGUUCACUUUCCCUCGCAGGUACACUACCAGAAGUCAACCCAGCUAUUGGUCUAGUACAGCCACGGCCACGUCUACUGCUAUGACGAAGCAUGAUGGUGCCUACAAGAUAUAAAUUCUCACUUUAAUAACAAUACAGCUUAUUCUUAUUAAGACAGUAAAGUCUACAGAAUCUAAAACCAUGCUCUGAUACCAACUGAAACGACCCGCCCCGAAUCCCCCUAGGCGAGUCUAUCUAGUCUCAUCAAAACAGACUUGAUAAUAAUUCUAUUCGUAAAGAUUCUGCCGAAAAUUCGGCAAAGUCUCCUUUAUAUAUAUAACACUCCCAAUCUACAAAUAUGAAUAUAACACUCCAAAUGCAAUUCAAUAUACAACAAACUCCAGUGCUCAACAUCCUCAACCAAAAUGCUGAGUUUCAUAUCUCCAGAGUCUCAAAAGAUAAUAUUAUAACUAAUAUUAAUAUAUCAAUUUAUUCUUAAUCCCAAAAGAAUAAUAUAUCAAAAUUAUACAAUCCCAAAAGAACAAGAUGACCAAGAUGUCCUAACACAAAAACAUCUAUAUCUUCUAACAUCAUCACGUGGCCAAAACUCAAAAUAUAUUUACAGUCGCUGGGUUGGUCUGGUGUACCUGCAACCUCCUGGUGAGGGGGGAAAAAUAUAAUAGAAAUGGGGUGAGUUUUAAACUCACUGAGAUCAGUGAGUGGAUAAUAGUUUUGAAAAUUAAUUCUUACUUUAAAAGAAAUAAUCAUAUCAUUUCCAAACACGAUUUCAUUAAACCGUAAGCGAAAAACCAGUAACAAAUCAUUAAACAUUGAAAUCAAAUUACUAACCAUGGACAUCAUAUCACAAUAUCAUAUAGAAUUCACAAAUCUGAAAAUCAUCACCAAACAAGUACUCAGGGAAAUAAUCUCGUCAUAUCCGGACCUCAACGGACAGGCAAUGACGUACUAUCUGGGUACCGCCACGCCCCGGAGCUACACGGAUAGACAGAGAAAUACCAUCUCAUAUCUCAUCAUAUCUGUGCAUGCAUAAUCUAGUCCCCAAAGGACAAAAGCGCCCAAGCACACGGCCCAAAGCCUCUGUGUGUACUCAGAUGGGCCCCAAAGGCCUGUAUCUCAUCUGUAUCAUCUGUAUCAUUUGUAUCUCAAUAUCUCUCUGUAUCUCAUAUCUGUAUCUCUGUAAUCAUCAUACCGCAUGCAUAUGCCUCCAAAAGGCAAAAACGCCCAAACACACGGCCCAAAGCCUCUAUGUGUGUUUAGACGGGCCCCAAAGGCCUCUCAUCUCAUUUGUAUCACAUGUAUCUGGAGGGAAGGGUAUUGUCUAAUGAUUUCAAAAACAAUCAUUAUACUCAUAUUCACAUACCUCUUAACCAUAUGUUUAAAUCAUACCACAUUUGAAUCCACUUUUCUUAUCUUUAAAAUACUAUCAUGCUCAUUCAAAGUCAAUACGCAAAAUCAUUAAUCAAACAUUUUAAUAAAAUACCAAUGCGUGAAUAAAAUCUAGUUCGAGGAAAUCAUUAAAUCAGAACAUUUAAAAUACUUAUUUUGCAAACAUGUUUUACUAUCAUAAUUAACUAUGAAAAUAGGUUUUGUAUAUUCCACUCACAGUGACAGUGUUCACGGUCGGUUAUCGUCCACGUCCGCGGACUGGUUCUCGCUCGCGGAUCCUCCUAAAAUAAGGAAACGACAUAAUUAUUUUCCGUAAAUCGGAAUUAUGACUAAAUUUUAUGCAAUAAACUCGAACCGAAUAUCUAUCCAUAAUUGACAACUCCCGUAUCUAUAAAAUUACUAAAAUGCCCUUGAGUCAGUAGAUCAUUAACAUGCUCCGAAAUCGUAAAUCACUGAAUUACCCUCGAAAUCGUAAUUACACCCAAUCCUCAAUUCUAGGAAUUACUAACAUAUCCACAGGCUCAGAAAUUACAAAAUUGCCCUCAUAGUGUGAAAUUACCAAAAUGCCCUUGCCGGUCAACGGUCACCGGAAUUUGGUCAACGCUGGCUAGGAAGCUCAAAUCUGAAAGUUCCAAUCAUGUUGAGUUCAAUGGUACCGGCGGUGAGCUCCAACACGUGGCAACGACGCCGAAAUCUAGCUCGGCAGCCGUGAAUUCCAACAAUCGACCUGCGGCAACACAGUGACUCUCGGUGCCUAUGGAUGGUCGGAAAUGGAAGAGGGAGUCAUGAGGAGCAAAAUCCAAUCGGUGGUGUCACUCAAAACCGGCGAAAAUCCCGGCGAAGCAAAGUGAAAUAGUCGCGGGUUUCAAGCUUCGAUCGCCGGCGUUUCGGUUGGUUUUCGGCGGCGAGGAUGGCAGGGGAACAACGGUCGGCUUCUAAGCUUCAGAUUGGUACCAAGCUCGGCCGAAACGGUGGCCGGAAAUGGGAGUUAUGGCCGGGUCAAGGACGCGGGUUCCGGGUCGGGUUUCCGGGUCGGGUUGACGGCUUCUCUCUCUCACUCUCUCACUCUCUCACACACGUGUGGCUUCUGUUUUUUUGCUCUGUUUUUUCUAGCUUCUUCCUUUUGUUUAUUAAUAAAAUCCUUAACCGCCUCAUUUUAUUUUAAAUUCACAUAUGUUACAACAUUAUUUCAAUUAUUAAUAAUUGACAAAAUUUUUGUUAUUUAUUAACAAUUAAUAAAAUUUAUUCAUAACAAAAUCAUAAAUACAUCAAUUGUUUUAUUUUAUUACUAACAUUUAAUUUUUGAUUUUAUUACUAAAAUUUAAAAAUACAUAAUUUCAGCAAUCAAAUAAUAACCAAUUACAUAAUAAAUAACCAAUUAACUUUAAGCAUAUAUAAUUAACUACAUAGUAUAUACCAUGAAUUGAAAGUUGAAACUUAGAAAAGUCACAAAGUCACAAAGUUACAAAAGAGCAGCAAAUCACGGCAAACACUCGGGUCGGGUUGGAGGCCGCGAGAUUGGAGCAGCAGAUCAUGGCAGCAGAUGGAGCAGCAGAUCACGGCAGUCGGCAGCAGAUGGAGUAGCAGAUCACGACAGUCGGUAGCAGAUCAUGGCAGUAGAUGGAGCAGCAGAUCACGGCAGUCAGCAGCAGAUCGCGGUUGGCGUAUUCCUUUCAAUUUGAGCUUAUUAGUACUUUGCACUUGGAAGACUAUUAAUUUUGGAUUUGAUAUCAAUGUCAUUUGUGCUUCGAAAUUGAAUGCAUAGAUAUUUAAAUUUGCUGCAAUUUUAUGAUUCUUCAUUUCCAUUUUUUACUUUUUCAACAUGUGCAAGUCGAUAUUUAACUACUUGUGUAUCUGUCUUUGAUAUCAUGUUUGCCAAUAAGGAGCAGUAACUAUAUUGAACAUUUUUCAGUUUCAAAAUGUGUGUUAUUUUUAUGUUUCAUUUACUUUAAAUUACUUUUAUUUGUGGAUUUAUGUUGUUAUUGUAUGCCAUUCAUAUUCAUUUGUUAAUUGUUGAACCAUGAGUGGAUUUUAUUUGAUAUUAUUAGGUAAAUUUUUAAAUUUUUAAGUUAUAUUUUAAAUUAUUAAAUUUUAAUUUUUGUGGGUCCGGAUAUCUAGAAUAGAUGUCUACAAUUCGUGCGGGAUAUGAAAAAUGGAUCUACAUCUAGAUGCGCCUACAUUUGAAUUUAGAUCCAUAUUUUACCAUCCCUAAGCUGGAUAGCAGGCUUAAUCAUUGUUUUGUAAUAUGUAAAACAUUGAGAUCAAUAAUUCCCACAUGGAGGACAAAAGUAGUAAAAGAAUCCCAAUCGUAGCUAUUCAAGGCCUUGUCAUUGCCAUAGCCAACAGAAGUGAACCUUGUCGAAAAAGUUUGGAUGAGACCAUUGAUUUGAUUUUUUGGGAGUGUUUGGUUUGACGAUCGUUUGGGAAAUAAAGAAACAGGUGUUCAGAUUCAAGUGAAAGAAAUAUCAAUGGAGGAAGAAAAAUGAAGAGUGGAGGUAGGGUCGGGCCGGUCGGCUACUGAGUAAUGAUGCCUUUGCUUUCAUUUUCUUUUGUGGCUUAUAAUCUUUUCAUAAUUGCAAAACUAACCUUAUACCUUGAAAAUGUUUUAACAAGAUUUUUGAAUUUUAAUGGCAAAAAACUAAUUAUGUUAAAAAGGUCAUUUAUUAUUCUAUUCAUUUAUGACCUUAUUAAUAAACAAAUUUUAAAUGAAUAAUCGAAUAAGUGAACUCAACCCUAGAUUCGAUUCAUUUAUUUAAUGAAUUAAAAUGAAUUUACUCAUUUAUUAAACAAAUCAAUAUUUUGAAAUCUAUUCCUAUUUAAUUUGACUCGAAUAGAAUCGAAAUAAGAAUCCUAAGCCAAAACACCACCCGUAAUUAGGGUUGGCAAAAACGCUCGAGCUGGGCCUAACAUCAUAAAAUCAUGGAUAUGAGCCCAAAAAUUUAAAGCCCAUGCUCUUUAAUUUAUAAAUUAAAAAAUUAAAUUAAAAAUUAAAAAUCAUUUUUAAUUGAAAGAGUUAAAUCCCUCGUUCCAUUCCGGAUUAACAACCUUUUUAAUAAAUAUGAGUCUUAAGCUUCUUGUGUAAAUUACAAUGCACAAACAUAAUUAAUAUCUAAAAAAUAAAUAAUUUUAAUUUACAAUAAUAAAUAAUAAGAAGAAGAGAAAAAGGAAUAAAGAAAAAGAAAUGUAAAUAUUUGCUUAGAGGUGACCGGCCCAGGCCCAUUGAAGGGAGUAAUUAAUAUUUUUUUGUUUAAUAAUAAUAAUCAUCUUAAUUUAACUAUUUUUUUAAUUUAUAACUUAAUUAAAAAUUUAUUUAACAAAAUUAUUGAAGGUCCAAACCCGGCCUAGGCCCAAGCCCAUUUAAGUUGGAUGGACUUUCAUAGGGUCUGGACCUAAUAUCAAUUAUAUGGGCUUGGACUUGAGAAAAUCCAGACCAAACUCGCAAAUUGCCAACCCUACCCGUAGUCAACACCACUCGUGUGUUGCAAAUUAUAAUAUUAUAUAUUAAGCAGAUGCUAGCAGAAGGAUGUGAAAAAUUGUUUUAGUUACGUUAUUCUAGACACAACAUUAAAAAUUGGGGUCUAUAAAAGUUGGAGCAGAGCAUAUCACCCCAAAAGCAAACAUAUCACCCAAACCACAGAAGGAAACAAAAUAAAGAGAUGGACAGAGGGGUUUUAAUUAAAUAUGCCUUAAAAGUAGGGUAUUUAGUUAAAUAUACCCCAUGCUUGAAAAUUAUCUAAAUAUGCAUUUUUAUGUGGUACAUUGUCUAAAAUAUCCCUAAAGAAAAAUAUAAAACACACACAACUCACAACACUCUUUACUUCUCACUCUUUUUGUUUACUCCACACAACAAAAACUCACACCACACUCAAAAUCACUCACAAACAGCUAAUUAAAACUUUUUUUUUAUUAUUCAUCCCAUGAAUAAGGUAUUUGAAACUUUUUUUUUUUUUUGGGCUAUCUAUUCAAUUUGUUGACAUUAUAUUAUUUUUAGGGUUUUGUUUGGUUUGUGAUAAACACUAAAGCAACUCAUAUUUUCAUUACAUUUGCAUCAUAUGACUGUUAUUUGAUAGAUUUUAUAACUACAUUCGUUAAAACCUGAAGUUGUUGUCAAUUUUUUUUUCUGCACCCGACAUACACGACAUCAGUCGUGUAUGUAUGUAUUUAAACGACUAUAGUCGUGAAAAUGUGCAAAAAAUUUCAAUUAUUAUGACACCUUAUCAUUCCAUAGGUUCGAAAAAUAUUUUUUUUUCACUAUAUAUAUCAUUUUACUAUUACUGGACUAUAGUCGUGUGUGUUAAUAAGUUACACGACUACUAGCGUGUACGUAUAAACUUAUAUACUAUAAUUAUGUAUAUAUGUAAAAUGUUCCAAUUGUUAUGAGAUCCCAACAUUAUUUUAAGAAGAAAUAUGUCCUCUGAUUAUUUACUGAGUCAUGUAUUUUUGUAACUUAUACGACUUCUGUCAUGUAUGUAUGAAUUUACACGACAACAAUCGUGCAAGUUUGAAAGAUAUAGUAGUUGUUAUGACACCUAGCAUUUUGUUAGUACAAAUAUUACAGUUAUAUUUUAUUAAAUAUAUCAUCUGACUGUUUAUAGAACUAUAGUUGUGUAUUUUAGCAAGUUACACAACUAUUGUCGUGUAAACUAUCAAUUACACGACGUCAGUCGUGUAAAUAGGCAGACAUAUCCACACUUCGUUAUAAAUCUUGUUUAAUUUUAUUUUUGUAUUUCUUGUAUAAUCAACUGUUGUAUUAUUACAGUAAUGAGGUUUUGCCCCCUAUGGAAAAGCGGAAAAAAGGUCGGCCACAACAAAUUAGGAUAACAUCACAAGGCGAAGAGAAAUUGCACCGUAAGUAUGGUAGGUGUGGUUCUCGAGGACAUAAUCGACUAACUUGCAGUGCACCAAUCUCACUGUCUAACAAUGAGCCGUAGCUAGACCGUAUGAAACAUAAACAAGCACAUGUACUACUAUGAACCUUAUAUACUUGUUAUUUUUUGUUGUUUUAAUUUUUUUAAUAUCUUUCAUAUUUAGUGAUAAAUUUCUACCUUUUUGUUUCGCAAAUGAAUAAACGUAUUUGUGUGGCUUUCUAAGAAUAAGUAUUGAACGAAGGUGACCAGAGGCUUAUAAAAUAUGGACCGAGUGUUUGGGUUAAAGAUGCCAAAAAUUUAUGAUGAAUGUUAAACAACUUCUAUUGUAUUACGACUUAUUUACGAUUUCAAUAAGUAUUGGAUUUAUGUUAUUUGAUAGGCAACCAGACUACAGUUAGUUUCAUUUAUUUGAAGUUUGAUAUGUUAAAGUCUAUAUUGAUUGUGUCAUCAAUAUAAUGAAUGAUUGAAAAUAGUUUUUAUUCUGUGCACAUACCUGAGUACAAUCGUGUAACAUGACUGUUACAGAACUGGUCAUGUUUAUUUCUAAAUACUCGACUACAGUUGUGUAUCUGUGCAAAUACCCGACUGCAGUCGUGUAUUUUGUCACAGAGAGCUUGUCAUGUUUAUUUCUAAAUACCCGACUGCAGUCAUGUAUCUGUGUAAAUACCUGACUGCAGUCGUGUAUUUUGUCACAGAGAACUUGUAAUGUUUAUUUCUAAAUACCCGACUGCAGUUGUGUAUCUAUGCAAAUACCUGACUGCAAUCGUGUAUCUAUGCAAAUACCCGACUGUAGUCAUGUAUCUGUGCAAAUACCCGACUGCAGUCUUGUAUUUUAUCACAGAGAGUUUGUCAUGUUUAUUUCUAAAUACUUGACUGCAGUCGUGUAUAUGUGCAAAUACCCGACUGCAGUCGUGUAUUUUGUUACAGAGAGCUUAUCAUGUUUAUUUGUCAAUACCCGACUGCAGUCGUGUAUCUGUACAAAUACCCAACUGCAGUUGUGUAUUUUCUUACAGCGUAUUCCCUGUGCAUAUAUGGCAAUCAUGUUAUAUCACAUAGAUUGUACAAACUAUCUUGUCUAUCAUUAAUAUAAUUAACAAAAAAAUAAAAUAUAUUAAUGCUGUCAAGUUAUCUUUAAUGACAUCAAAUAUCAACAACAUCCUCAUUAUAACUAUUACAUCUCAUAGUCCAAAAAAUGACACUACAAAGUUUUUUUCCAUGACCUAUGCCCAAAUAUUUUUACAGCCAAGGCUUUUCGAAAUUGUGUAACAUGAUCUUGUUGGCAAUAUGAAUUGAUAUCAAGUCCAUGGGCUAGGACCUCCAAGUACCGCAACAAAAAUGCUCCACAAUCACCACUAAAAAAAUUGAAUAAGAAUGAACCAAAUAUAUUGCUCUUACACCUGAUAAACAAACCAAGAGUUGUAUGGUACCUCUAGUGAGCCUCAAGGAACAACUAAUUGGAAGUUCUAUAAAAUCCAGGAUUACAGGUAACCUCCUCAACCUGCUUGCUUUGAGACUGCAGUGGCAUUUGCAGACAACGUCAUAAAAAAUUCUACAGCUAAUAAAAGUUUUGACUCUUCUCAUACCAUCAAAGAGAAAAAGAAUAGAAAUGGAUAACUAUAAAUAUUAGAAAGCAGAGAACCAUAACUAGAAGCAUGCGACUUAAGCUCUACAAAGAGAAUAAAUAGUCACAUAAGUUUGCAAAAUCACAUUCUUUCUUCAUUUGCGUAAUGAGUCCAUUGGUGAAUUUGGACGUUAAAACUGUAUCAGUGAAAAUCAGAUAAGAACAAGCAGAAUACGCAACUUGAUAACAAACGCAUCUAACAAUAACAAAAGGCCACUUCUUUACUUAAAUAUCGAACCAUAUUAACAAAUAAGAAUCAUAACGUGAUUGGUCUCCAGAAGUACAUUAGUAUCUCCACCCCCCUUCUUUUAAAAAGUAAUUCUACCAUGUCUCAGUUAGAAAUUGAAAAUCCACUAUGUUAGUUAGCACAAACUGUUUCCUCCAUUUUCCAAUCCUUUCAGUUAGAACUUCAGAUAUCAAAGCAAUCAAUAGAUAUUCAUUCAUAAAAUACGGUUAAAUUUUAAAAGUAGUAAAGAAUUGAGAAUGCAUCCACUGAAGAAAGUUCACAAAUCUUUCUUUUUUUUGGGGGGGGGGGGAGUUGUUUCCAGUUUUUCCAUAGUUCUCAUCACCUUGUGACAAAUUUGUAAACCACAACUUACUCCUCUUUUUCUCUUUCCUAAUCUAACAUUAUUAAUCAAAUAAAAUGCAAUGAAUUUGUUCAAUGACUUUAUCACAGCUUCAUGAACUAAUUUCAAGACAACUCCUAGUCUAGAAGUUCACGGAAAAUGUAAAAUAUCUCUUCUGCAAUGUUAAAAAUUUGUUUAUAGUUGAGCUAUUGAAAAGCUACUCCUGAAUUCCGGAGUAUGCCAGAACAAUCAUUUUCAAGAUGAAGAUACAACUCCUCAUGGACGGAAAGCAAAAUCCUAGUCCCACCUAACAUUUCCACAGAUAUUAAAUUAAUAAAUUACCUUCAAAGCACAAGGGUUACAGUCAAUUUCUCGUUUUACUUGUUUUGCCACGUUUCGGCGAGAGUGUAGAAGAAUUGUUGUAAAAUGGCAGGGAUUUGUAAAAUGGAGGAGGGCGCGCUGAAGGAGAGUGGGGGAAUUGCAGCUAAUGGUUUGCACAGAAGCGGCGUCGUUUUACUUGUUUUGCUGCGUUUUGGUGAGAGUGUAGAAGAAUUGUUGUAAAAUUGUAGGGAUUUGUAAAAUGGAGGAGGAGAAUUCCAGAAGAAUGAGCUGAAGGAGAUGCUGCUCAUGAGAGAGAAUUGGGGGUUUUGUUACACGAUUGGUUAUGGUAGUUUGGUUGAUUUAGGUUUUUCAUUAGGAUAAUUUCGUAACUGCAUAUUAGAAAAGGCAUAUACGAGAAAUUUUUUAGUAUGGGGGUGUUUUUAGAUAAAUACUAUAUUUUUGGGGUAUACCACGGACAAAUCCCUGUUAAAAAUUGGGGUCCAUAAAAGUUGGAAAAAUUGGGGUCCAUAAAAGUUGGAGCAGAGCAUAUCACCCCAAAAGCAAACAUAUCACCCAAACCACCGAAGGAAACAAAACAAAGAGAUGGACAAAGAACUUGAAAACGGGAGAUAAGAAGAUAACCAGCUUGAGGUUCAAAAUUAAACACAUAUUACAGACUACAUGUACGAAAAGAAAGACAGAAAACCGAACAUGGGCUACUGAGCUGCCCCUCACAAUCCCUAAAAAAGCACCAAGUUGAUAGAAACCAAAUCAGUGAGGUAAAAAUAAAAAAGAAAAUGAGCCGCCCACACGUUUUGGUGAUGCCUGCUCUAGCAUAGGGCCAUCUAAUUCCUUUACUGGAGUUUUCGCAAUGUCUGGCAAAACAUGGAUUCCGAGUCAAAUUCGUCAAUACGGAUCAUGAUCACAAGCGGGUAGUGGAAUCAUUAGAGGGAAAGAAUUAUCUUGCGGAGCAAAUCCGUUUGAUUUCGAUCCCAGAUGGGAUGGAGCCCUGGGAAGAUAGAAACGAUUGAAAAAGUUUUACAGGUUAUGCUGGGGAAGCUGGAGGAGCUCAUAGAAGAGAUCAACAGUAGAGAAGAUGAAAAAAUUGUUUGUUUCCUUGCAGAUGGGAACAUGGGUUGGUCUAUGGAGGUAGGAAAAAAGAUGAACGUCUGGGGGGUUGUCUUUUGGCCUUCAUCAGCAGCAUCUGUGGCCGUGGUAUUUCGUCUCCCCAAACUUAUUGAUGAUGGAAUCAUUCACAGUCAUGGUAUGAUCCCAUGUCAUUUAACUCCUUACUUUUUUUUUGUUUUACGUAAGGGGGGUGGGCAAACCCAAAUACAGUUUUUUUACCCCUUACCACCCUAAAGAACCGAACUCGCGUUUUGGUAGAGGUUACAGAUGUACUGAAACCAACCCGACCAUGCCCUUGGGGCAUUUAACUCCUUACUUUGCUCCAGCAAACUUUAAUUUUGAAGCAUGUCAAAUUAGAAGUUUAUUUUAUGCUAUUGUAAUUUUCUUUGUUUUGUAUUCAACUUCAGGAAAUCCUACGAGCAUGCAGAUGUUUCGGAUAGCACCAAAUAUGCCUGAAAUGAACUCUAGAGACUGUUUUUGGGCACAAAUUGGUGACUUGACCUCGCAAAAGAUUUUUUUUAUUUACUGGAUAGAAACAUGAGAGCAAUGAUAGCGGUAAAUUUCCAGUUUUGUAACUCUAACAUAUGAGCUCGAGUCUGAAGCAUUCACCAUGUUUCCGGAACUUCUGCCAAUAGGACCACUUUUGGCAACUUCUGGCGCGAAGACUCAAACUGUUUGAAAUGGCUAGACCAACAGCAACCAAGCUCUGUCAUUUAUGCUGCUUUUGGCAGCCUUACAAGGAUGCAGAUUUUGCAUAUUAUAUCCGGGUCAAAUAAAUCAAUUCUGCAAGGACGCACGAGUUUCAAUGCCACUCCGUUUCCCGCGGGGAGGCAAACCAAACUGGAUUAGCGUCUCUUGCAUUUUAGAAGAGGAAACAGAAUUGCUGCGAUCCUUGUAUAGGAUUGCCUAUUUUUUGGAUCACUCAAAAACAUUUGUUUAUUUAGUAUUAGCUUAUGAGAAGAUACUAGUGAGAUUUGCGGCUAAAAAAACUGAGAUAGGAUACUUGUGUGGGAGGAGACUAAGCCUAAAUGUAGCCGAUAAAAUGUUUAGAUCAAGCUCGAAAUCAUGUUAUUAUUCCUUUUAAUUUUAAGAGGAUGAGAUACAUCUUGUUCCCUCAUCUCGUGCUAUAUAUAUUGAGAUUUGAGCACAAGGUAAUCAACUUCUAGUCUUCUAAUUCACAGCAACAAAAGCAAUGGCUGCCUCUUACCAUACUCACACAAACAGCCUUCCACAAGAUCACACCCACAGACUUCCGAAGUUGAAGAGCAUUUGAGAAGAUUAAGGACUUCUCUAGCUGCUUCUACUUCAUCAUUAGCCAUGAAUUAAAUUGCUUGGAGGAUUCAUGAGAUUCUAUUCAAAAAAAUACUUCAAUUGCCCCCCGUGCAACAAACUUUAGCCCAUGGCCACGAGAAGAAAUGGGUUGAUGACUGUUGAAUGGAUCUUCCAGGAUCUUGACUGUUUGCAGCACUGCUCAGAACGCCUUGCUGCAGAUAAAGGAAUCUGCACUCGGAAUUCGAUCAGUGCUAUGCAAAAGAGGGGAUGAGGAAAAUUGAAAUCAAAUGAAACAUGUUGAUCGGCAUGAGUUGUAGCAGUGUGCGAUGCAAAAAUUGGCUUUGCUGUGAAAGAGAGAAGACAAAUAAGUUAAAAAGAAUGAUACCGAAAUACCUUCUUACAUAUGAACAAACCAAGGCUUACACAUAUAUGUCAGGCAAAUUGAAUUCUUGAAAGUGUCGGCACCAGCUGGCCAUGCAAAUAUUAAUUAAUCACCGUUCAAAUUUGAAUAUGGCAGCAGCCAAUUCAGCUCCUUUUUUUAACUUCACGAAGAAGCCUUCAAAUUGGUACUAAUAUUUGAAUAUGGCAGCAGCGGUAGCAGCAGAAAGAAAACACGAGGUUCUAAGUGAUGAUGAAGGAAUAUCGGUAUCAGUAGAGGAUCAGAAAGUGAAUGAAGACAUGCCUGAGGCACACGAUGCUGCAAUGAAAAUUGAGAGGGCCGAGGGAGCUUAUGUGGCCUACUCAGGGCUGCGAGAAAAGCCAUCGAAGCUUGAAAUUUGGACAUUUCAUUGUUACAACAGUUGUGCCCGUUGUUUUUCCUCUCAUCAUCAGUGAAAUUGUUUCUAAAAUGAUGAUGAUGAUCAAGGUUGGGGACAAACCCCAAGGGGCAUUGCUUGUAUUCUCAGAGAGAUCAAACUGUAAGUUCUUUUUCUAGCUACAUCUAUUUUUACUUAGUAGAACAUUCAAUCAAAAUUCUAUGUAUACAAAGCACAUGAGUGUAAUUUACACAAAAAAUUGGAUUAAAGAUCGAAUUGAUUCCAAGAUUCUUAGCACAAAAACAGUAAAAAACGUAAAAGAUGCAAUUGUGCAUAUUAAUUUUCUUAUGGGAGAAUGAAUUUCUCAUUCUUAAUUUUACCAUUUGGCUCAAAAUAUUGACAAAAAAAUAAUAUUGUUUGAGGUUAAAUGUGAAAUUUUAAUAUACAAAAUGGUUAUACUAAGAGAUUUACUGAUUAUGUUAUUAAAAAUUUAUCCGAACCCAAAGAACAAAAACAACUUCUUAGUGGGAAUAAAGUUUCAUUUAUUCUCCUUUAAUUAAUUCAUUAGCCAAACUCUUACUCUUUAUUUAUUAUUACUUAAACUUGAGUGACCGCGGGUAUAAAGCGCAUUCAUGACCAGUUCAACUAGACAAAUGGUCAGUUUUGAAUGUGUCCAUAUUUAGCAUGAUGAAAUAUUUUUCAUAUAUUGGAGGUAUGAUUGACUAACACACACAUCAAUAUCAACGAAUAAUCUGAAUCUCUCAGCAAUGGAAUGGACUUCAAUUUCAUGGGCUAUAGGCCUAAUUCUGGCUAGUCCCUCCCUUGGCUUGAUCUCCAAGCAACUUGACCAUGGCUACAACCCACAGCUCAUUGCUAGGGCUGCAAGUGCCAUCGGUUCCCUCUUUUGUCUUCCUGUUGGCUUCAUUAAAACCCCAUACAUCUUCCCAUUUUAUAUUGCAGCUAUUGUUGCAUUAUACAUUGUUGCUUCAGCCUCCCACACUCGCCAUCUUGGUCUUAUGGCUCGCGGCUACACUGGACCAACACUUAAACUUAGCCAAUCCCCAACUAGAAGAGGGCUCUCAGGCUGGUUCUCGGUUUACGCCACUGCUGCUGGUGGCUUAGGCUCUGCCAUUUUCUCAGCAUUCACUUACCAUAUGCUUAGGAACAAAAAGGGCCCAUUUGUUAGCCUCUGGAUUGUGUCCAUUUUCAGGGUCCUCAAAUGGCUCGUUGGCAUGCUCCAUAUUGUCACACUGAGCCAGGGGCAAUCACCAACGCAACCUCCUCUAUGCCCGAAUCAUAUUCACUGUCCCUUUUUAAAAAUCCUCAUGCAAUUACAAGCCUGAUUGUAAUUUUCAUGUCAUCAUUUUCAUCAAUGUGCAUUUUCACUGAGGGGUUAUUUUUUUUCCUAGGCCCGUUGUGCCUCGAGGCAAUUUUCUUCCUCUACUUCUGGAUAAUUUACUUCAUCUUCCCAUCAUUUUCAAUGACACUAUUGCAACCGUUACAACAUGUUAUCAAAGCAGAUGCUGUGAGAAUGCAACUUCUGGUUUUCCUCUUAGCUCUGUUGACUUCAGGUAUGGGAUUCUACUACAAGGAAAAGAACUGGCAGAGGCACCAUGUACUGCUUUUUGCUGCAAUUCAAAGCACUUCUGCAGGGCUUUUGCAUGCUUUUGGGAGAGUUUUGUUGCUAGAUUGUGCACCACAUGGCAAAGAAGGUGCUUUUUCUGUGUGGCACUCGUGGGUAAAAGCACUAGGAACUUGUACUGGCUUUGCUGUGGCAUCAGCGAUCAGUGGAAAUGUGAGCACUGCUUUUGGGGUUUCAUUUUUGGCUGCCACGAUCGGGAUUCUUAUUGUGAUUUUUGGGGACAUCAGUGAUGUUGGUGGAGACAUGGCUGCUGGGCAUUUGCAUGAAGCGAGUGAGAAGGGAUCCCCAGUGCCUGGUUUAGAUAGUAGUGCAAGUGAACUUUCGCGGAGAGUCAAAUCUGUUAUCCUUUAUAAGUAAAUAACUGAGGCACGUAUGAUUUUCAUUUUUUUUACCCUUUUUUUUCUUUUUUUCUCUUUUGGUUGAAUAAGUAUAUCCCACUUUCUGUUAACUGUAAAUAACUUCUUGUGUGCCUUUUACACUUCCAUUGGUCAUUGCUUUGAAUUAAUGUAAUAUUGAUUUAAUUGAAAUGAUAAUUCUUUUUUUUUUUUUUUGGGUUCCUAUCAUUGCCUAAACUCGUUUCAUUAACUGGUAUGUUAAAAUUUGUGACAUUGGUAAAAAUUCUAUCUAUAAAAUUUUCUGCACUGUAGCCAUACGAACGUAAUCUGUAAUCUGUUUUGUAAUCCAAGCUGGGCGGUAGGCUUUAUCACUGUUUUGUAAUCUGUAAAACGUUGAGAUCAAUAAUUCCCCCGUGGGGGACAAAAGCAGCUAAAAAAAAAAAGCAUCUCUUUGACUUUCGAAAAUAUCUAGAGGACUUCACUUGAAGUGCUUUGUGAACGCAAGAAGUUAUAUAAAAUUAUCUUUUCAUUGAAAAAAAAAAAUUAUAAUAAAUAUAACUUUUUUAAUAUUUUAAUUUGCAUAGUCAGUCAAAAAAAUUAUUUAAACAUAACUCAUUCAGAGCUCAUAAAGCAUAUUAAUAUUAGAGGUGGAAAAAUGAAUUGAUGAAUUGAAUCCGUAUCAAAUCAAAUCAAAAUUCAAUAGAUUCAAAUUCAAUUCGUUUAUUAAAUGAAUGGUAAUCUUUAGACUCAAAUUUAAAUGAAUGGUAAUCUUUAGACUCAAAUUUAACUCAUUUAAUAAAUAAAUAAAUAAUUGUUUAUAAUUUGUUUAAUUCAUUUAAUAUACAAAAAUAAAUUAAACAACAAAUGAAAACAACAAAUAAAGAAGUGAAUGGAUUCACCUAAAUUUGUUUACAAUCUGAUAAAAAAAAUCAAUUCAUUACAACUAGAUUCAAGCUAAACACUAAUACAAUCAAUAACCAAGAAACUGAAGAAACUCGAAAGGCGUAACGAAGGAUGAAGUUCACGGUUGAAUUUGUGGUCGGCAUACCUAUUUGAGACCUUGUCACCGCCAUAGCCAAGAGAAGCGAAGCUUGCUGGAAAAUCACAGAUUUGAUUUCUUGGAGUGUUUGGUUUGGCGUUCGUUUGGGGAAUGUUCAAACAAAAUUUUUGAAUUUUAAUGGCAAAAAAGUAAUUAUGUUAAAAAGGUUAUUUAUUAUUCUAUUCAUAAUGGCCUGAUUAAUCAAUAAAUUUUAAACAAAUAAUCAAAUUGGUGAACACAAACCGGAAUUCGAUUCGUCAAUUUAGUGAAUCAAAAUGAAUUCACUCAUUUAUUAGACGAAUCAAUAUUUUCAAUCCUAUACUCGUUUAAUUUGACUCGAAUAGAAUCAAAAUAAGAAUCUUAACCCAAAAUAUCACCGGUAAUCAACACCGCUCGUGUGUUGCAAAUUAUAAUAUUAUCUAUUGAGCAUAUGCUAGCAGAAGGAUGUGAAAAAUUGCUUUAGUUACCUUAUUCUAGACAGAGCAUUUAAAAUUAGGAUCUAGUAAAGUUGGAGCAGAGCAUCCUUUUUUUUAAAUUUAUUACAUGAUACUAUUGCUCAACAGUACAACUCAUAUUACAUGAGAUUAUACCUGAUAUUUACAAAUUUGACUAUUACUAAGAUUGAUUUACAUUAAUUCUUAUGAAGUCUGCCCAGAUUUUUACCAUUUCUAAUAUUCGAGAGACGUCUACUCCACUCACAUUGUCUACUCCACUCACAUUUCGAAUUCUUAUGAAGCCCUCCCAAAUUUUUAUCCGCUCUAAUAUUCGAGGGAUGUCUGCUCCACCCAUAUUUCGAAAAGAAGAAGAUUGUCUUCACUCAAAUUGAGAAAGAAAAUUAAACCCCCACAAUACCUCACAAUAGGAAGGAAAUAGGAUCGAAGGAUGGAUGUGUUUCGUUGGAAUGCCAAUUAUUAAAAACUCAAAAUAAACAAUGCUUGGAUUGGGUCGGCUUUGUCCAAUUUUAAAAUUAAUUACCAGCUCUGAAAUAAAUAGAUUUGCUUUGGAACGCGGUUGGUCAAGUUUAAUAAAGGUACGUGGCGUUGUAUCUAGAUCGAUGUAGAGACAAGUCUGCCUUUGGAACCAGAUCUGACUUAGAACAGAUCAAUAUUCCGCACGUUCUAGUUUCCAGCCUAUAUACCAAUUAUAUUUACCAAAUAUUUGUUAAGUUCUUUAAGCAAGCCUAGCAACAACAUUCAUCUAAGGCUAGGGUGCAUACACAGUACCAGAUCCGGUUCCCGGAAAUGGUGCUCUGAAGGAAUGGAGGGAGAAGAGAAGAUUUACAACUGAGGAUCGAGAUCUGGUCUCUUUGCCUCAGAGGAACGUACAAUUUUUAUGGCAGAUCUGAUACAGAUUAGUCUGCAAUCAUGCUUUGUAAAAGAAAAAUGCUUUAAAAUUAAAUUGCAGAAAUUAAAUGCUUUAAAAUUAAAUUGCUGAAAUUUAAAUUACAUAAAGUAAAUUGCAGAAAUUAAAUUGCUUUAAUUUAAAUGACAGAAACAUAAAUCAUACAUGUUUGCUUUAUUGCUUUGAAUGUGAUACAAUUUCUCAUAUCUGAAAGAAAAGAAAGAUUGAAAGACGGGAAGAUUUCAAGACAAGAACCUCCCUUAAUAUCCUGAUCAUUUACAGGACGGGAAAGGUUUCCUGGAUGUCUUGAAUUCUCUAAGAGAGAGAGAGAGAGAGAGAGAGAGAGAGAGAGAGAGAGAAGGAAAAAAAAUGAAAAGAAGAGAAAACUAGAUCUGAAAAUUCUGAGGAGUCUUAGUCUUCCUCUAGAAUAUAUACACUGACUUUGAACUGUAGCGAGACUUUAGCUUUAAACUGUAGCGGGAGCGGGGAUGCUUGAAACAGUGAUCUUUGGGGCAUACAAUGUUUUUUAUUUUUACAAACUUUAAAAUAAAUCCGGAUUAAGAGACAUGUGCGCUCUCACUUGUGUCCAGGGGACCAUCCGAGGGUAUAAAAGUACGAACAAAAUACAAAAUAGGUAUUUAUCCUCUUUUUUUUUUUUAAAUAAACAAUAAUUAUUUACAAUGCUUUAUAGGAGAGAAAAUUCCGAAACAGUCGUCUUCAUUUUCAUCUCCAAGGGAAAUGAAUGGCUCUUGAUCUUCAUCUUCGUCAUCAUCUUCAGAGGAGUCUGCCACUGAUGACUUUGACCGAGAGGUGAUGAGUUGUUCCAUAACUUUGAAAUACUAUUCUUCUGUUUUUGCACUGGCUAGUAAGGAUUGGGCUUUGAAUUUUUGAGAGAAGAAGGUGCUUUGGGCUUUGGUUAGCUCUUUACUUGGGCCUAAGAAGCCUUUUGUUGUAAGCCAUGAUCGAACAGUGGUUUCGGUUAAUUUAGAUUUUUCAUCAAACUUUGACCACCAUUUGACUUUGAAUGUUCUUUGUAAGACCAGAUGGUUAUCUUGAGUAUGAUAAUGGAAAUUCCACAUCCAAACCCAAGGAAGGAAGAAAUUUGUACAGAAACAGAGAAAAUGAGGGAACCUUUUCUCAGUCUCAGAAGGAAUAUAAUGGGCUUUAAAGAGGCUCAAAUAAUUUUUGGCAUUUUGGGUAAGAAUGUCAGGACUUGGGCCAAAAUAGUUCCACCAAUUUUGAAACCAAUUUGGAAGGCUUUGUACGGUUAUUUUUUAAUUAAAGAAAAAUAACCAUGAAUGGGAUUUCUUUGGGUUUUGUAUGAAAAAUGUGUUAUACCAGGCUUGUUGGUAAUCCCAAUAGGAAUAGACCAUACAAUGAGGUAGACGCAUUUGAAAAUUUGGAGGGAAACGUUUGUAGUUGUGGAGAAGGUCACCCCACUGGUUAGGGCUCAAGACUUUUAAGAUAGUGGCCGUGGAGUAGGCCGGCUCAGAAUGAGAUUCAUUGAGAAAGAAAUGUUUAAAUUUGACUGACUCAGUAGCUUCUAAAAUGCUUUGAUAGUAAGACUGGGGUUUUGUUAAAUCCCAUGGUUUGAAAAACUAGCCUUUAGGAAAAAUCUUUGAAAUUGCUUGAAAUGGAUCAGAAUGAUAAAAUCCAUCUUCAAUAGUUAAAACAUUUUGAUGGAAGGUUUUAUCAUACCAAUCAGAAGUUUUCUUUGAAGGUGUUGGCUGGGAAAGUACAAUUUAAGAGGAUGAACUUUGUCCAGAGACAACAAUAUUUUGAUAAGAGGGUUUUGAAAUUUCUUUAGAGAUGAGUUUUUCUUUUUCAAUUUCUUCUUUAGGAGAAAUUUGGCUUUGAGAAAGGCCCUGAAGGGCGAGCAUAAGCUCAGGUGACUUUGUAAUGGAACUCAUCCACUGUUUUACUUGGUCAUCAGUGGUAGUGGCUUUAUAAUGGGCUUCAUGCUCUUCAACCAUUUCGAUCCAGGAUUUAAUGGGCAUGGCCGAAGAAAGCAAUUUUUCUUUAGAAGGAGUUGGUUGGGGUUCUUUAGAGGUUGCUUGAGAUUCAGUGUCUUUAAGGACAACUUUACCUUUAUCCUUCCUCUUUGGCGGCAUUAUCUGUUUUGAAGAAAUUCUCUAGUUAGAAAAUCAGGAACAUAAUUUUUAUCUCCUUUAAUAAAUUCAAUAUCAAAAUAAAAAAACUUAAAAUGGCUUGCCAUCGUGCAAAAAUUUGUUUGGAUGCAAUAUUUUGAACAUCUUUUUCCAAAACAUGUUUUGCAGCUUUGCAAUCAAUUCUAAGUAGAAAUUUUUGAUUUAAUAAAUCACUUUGGAAUUUAGAGAUACAUAAAACAAUUGAUAAAAUUUCUUUUUUAAUGGUAGAAUAAUUCUUUUGACAAUCGUUCCAAUGUGCAGAAACAUAUUGUACUAUCUGUUCUUUACCAUUUUCUUUUUGCUUUAAUAUGCCUCCAUAACCUAAAUCUGAUGCAUCAGUUUCAACAAUUUUAGGCAGUGUAGGAUUAGCAAGAAAUAAACAUGGAAUGCUUUUUACUAUGGUCUUUAUAUGCUGAACAAUUUUUGUAUGCUCGUCAGACCAUGCAACAGGGGUUUUCUUUAACCUAUUAUGCAAUGGUUUGGCAAUCCUAUUUAUGUUGGGACAGAAAUCAAGAACAUAAUUGAGACUGCCCAAAAAUCUUUGUAACUGAGUCUUAUCAAGGAUUUUAUCAGGAAACUUGUCUGUAAAGGCAAGGGACCUUUCAAUAGGAGUAAUGGUUCCUUUAAAAAUAUAAUGACCUAGGAACCUGAUUCUAGUUUGGAAUAAUGAAAUCUUUGAACUAGAAAGGGCUAGACCAGCUUUCUUUGUGGCAUAAUAGAAAGUCUUUAAGUGUUUGAAAUGUUGAUCAAUUGAUUGAGAAAAAAUCAACACAUCGUCUAUAUAGACAAUGCAAAACUCAGAAUAGGAGUUGUAUAUGUCAUUAAUUAUUCUUUGAAAUUCUGAGGGUGCAUUCUUUAAGCCAAAUGGCAUUACAGUCCACUCAUACUGUCCAAAUGGAACAGUAAAAGCAGUCUUAUAACGAUCAUUUGGGUGAAUUUGAAUUUGCCAAAAUCCAGACUUCAUGUCAAAUUUUGAAAAAAUAAGGGCAGAACACAGUUUUUUGAGUAAAUCUUUUUUAUUAGGUAUAGGAUACCUAAUCCAUCUCAAUGCUUUAUUUAAAGGUUUGUAAUUUAUUACAAGUCUUGGUGUUCCUCUUUCAAUUUCGGAAUUUUUAUUUACGUAAAAAGCAGCACAAGACCAUGGUGAUCUGGAUUUCACAAUGAGUCCUUUGUCUUCUAAAUCAUUUAUUUCUUUUUUACAAUGUUGUUCCAAUUCCAUAUUCAUUUGGAUUGGACGAGCUUUAGUGGGUAUUUAUUUUUCAUUAAAAGAAUUGUCAUAGGGCAAAUCUACCAAAUGUUGUUUUCUUUCCCAAAAAGCAGAUGGUAAAUCAGCACAUAUUUCUUUUUCGAUGAGAUUUUUAAAAUUAGAGAUUUUUCUUUGUAUAAAGUCAUUUUGUAUUUGUCUUUCAAUUCUUUGUAAACUUAAAUCCUUUUUUAAACAAAACAAGUCAUUUUGUUUAGAUUUAAGAACGGCAUUGAUAUGAUUUUGAUAAACUGAGCAAGCUUUAACAAUGUUUAGAUUUCUUGUUUUUGGUUUUUCAAUAAAAGGGAAAAUAAGCUUUUUGGAUUUUGCUUUAAAAGAUAUACUAUCGUAAUUGACAGUAUAUGGGGUAAUCAAAUUUAUAAAUGGGGUUCCUAAAAUGACAGCAUGGUGUAUGUCAUUUGUAAGGAUAAAAGAAGUUCUGAAUUCAAAAUCAUUAUUAUGAAUAGAAGCUUCGACUUUAGAGUUGACUUUAAGUUUUGAAUUAUUGGCGGCAGAAAGUCUUUCUUUAGUUUUCUCAUGAAAUCUUUUAGGGACAAUAUCUUCUCUUAUGCAAUUUAAAUCAGCACCAGUGUCAAAAAGGGCAAUGGCGUCUAUUGCAAAAUCAUUUGAAAAGAUUAAGGUGACUUUAAUCAAAUAUUUUCUGGUGGUGAUUUGUUUUAAAACAAACAGAAAAUCAUUUGGCACAGAUUCAAUGUUGUCAAGUCUUUGUUCUUCAUUAUCACCAUCAUUAGAUUCUUUAUCUGAAUUGUCCUGUAAUUAUUUUUGUAAGAGAAGUUGGAUAGUUUCAGAAUCAUUUCUUUGCUUUUCUUUUAACUCUUUUAUCUCGAGUUUAAUAUCUUUGAUUUCUUUUUGAAGAUCUUGGAUAUUAGGUGUUGUUUUCUUUAUUUUCUUUUUGUCUAAAAUUUGGGUGAGGUCAUAAGAACUUUUUUUAACAAUUGAAAUUUUGGAAGUUUCUGCUUUAUUAGAAUCCAGGGUCUUUAAAAGCUUAUCAAGAUAUUCUUUUUGAAGAUUCGGGUCAGAAAUGUGUUUAACAAGUUCAAGAAAAAUUUCUUGGUCUUUUGUCAAAACAUUGAUUUUCUUUAAAUAAGAAUCUGACUCAGAAUUACUACUGCUAUAUGCAGAAGUAUCUGAAUCAAUAAGCUCAUCAACUUGGAGGCAGUCACUGUCUCCCGACAUGGAAGACUCAGAGUCAGAAGACUCUACAAGAAGAGAGGCAACUUUAGAGAGGAUCUCUUCAUCGAGUCCUAACUCGUGAAGUUUUCGGUUCAUUCUGCAAUACUUUGCAGUAUGGCCUUUUAUGCCACACUUAUGGCAAAUGGCUUCUUUGUAAUUGAAAGGGGCUUUGUGUUUAUGUUUAAAUUCAUUUUUCUUAGAGAAAUUGGGCUUCUUAUGAGGCCUCGAGGGUUUCUUAUAAGAAGAUUCUCUAAAAUUUUGGAAUGGUUUUCUAUGACUCUUGGAUCUGUAAUGUCUUCUGUGAGGUUUAGAAGAACACUCACCAUUACAUCCUUUGGAGGUAGAAGUUUUAAAGGGGUCAUAGUUGAAUUGCUUACAGAAACUGCCUAAUUCUUGCUUAGAUUUCCUAAGCUCCCAUUUAAGUCGUUUCUGUAGUUUCAAAUCUUGACAGAUCUUUAAACCUUCUUUGUUAAUAAAGCUAACAAGUUCACCGUAGAUGAGCUCAUCAUAAGGGAUACGAUUAUCGUAUAUGGCUUUAAUGGAAUUCCUAACCUUUUCUCCUAAAAGGGUAGGUAGACCAGCAAGGAAUUUCUCUUUCCAAGUUAUAUGAUUUGCAUCAUCUCUGAGAAAGAGUCUGGUAAAGAAAGUAGUUUUGUAACUCUGGAACUCACUAAGUGUUCUACAUCUUAAAUUAUGUAGUAACUCAGCGUUUUUAUCUCUAAGGUGAGAGGGAUCUCCUAUGAAAUGGAGGGAGAUGGUGAGGAUUAAAGUGGCAACCGCAUCUUGAAUUAGAUUAUUAAACUCAUCAAGAAUAGGUAUUUUAUCCUCAUCGAUUUGUAUGGAAUUUAGAAUAUCUAAUUGUUGCUGUUGAGUGAGAAGAUGAUCCCACCAACCUUUAAGUUGACCUGUAAAGCCAGCAAUAAGGAUUUCUGCAAUAGCUUUGUCAGAAGUUCCCGAUUGGGUUUUAUACGCAUUAGCUGCCAUGGUCAUCUGCUGCAACAAUCCUAGGAUGUUGUACUCAGACAUUCCAUCUAAACUCCACUCAUAGACAGAGGAUGCAUUGUAUCGAGAUUGAUUUAAUGCACUAGGCCUGUUGUCUAUGGUCAAAUCAGGUGGAGACUUAACAUUAGGAAUGGCUAAUUCCCAAUGGAUUUUGUUGGCUUUAGGAAUAGGAUCUUCUUUAAAGGCUUCUAUAUCAGAAGAGGCAAUAGACGUUUGGUCAGACAUUUGGUCAUGUUCUAAUACUCCAAUCUUGCUAGAUUGAGGAGUAUCAGGAGCUAUUUGAACUUUGCUAGAUGAGGAAGAAGCAACUUCUAUCCUAUCUAGUUGUUCUCUAAUGGCUUUAGUAAAAUCUGAUUUUGACUCAUGAACAAGCUUUUGACUAGUUUUCGAAACUUGAAAAGGUUUGAAAAUAGGUUCUUUAAGCUUCUUGUCAGAAUCCGAUUUUGAUGGAAUAUGAGUAGAAGAAACAGCUAUGGUUGACUUUUGGAAUUGGUUUUCUAUCAUACUCAACUGUUUUCCAAUGGUAUUUAAGUUAGUAUUACAGAAAUUAUUCUGUUGGAUAAUACUACUUAAAUUCGCAUCAGAAUCAUUAGGUUUAGGAAUUUUGUAAGGAGAGGCUCUAAUCUGGACAGGAGGUUCACCGUGAUCUACAGUUAGACUUCGAAGAGGUGGGUGUUCAGAUUCUAUAGUUCUAUCACUAUCAGUAAGUUUCCAUUCAGGAAUUUUCUUUCUAAUAGUAAUAGGGCUUGACUCUUUAAAGGGAUAAGAAAUGUUGUUCUCAGAAGAAUAUAUUUCAAACCAAUCAAAAAACAAUAUAUGAAUUUGAUGCAAAUUCACAAAUUCAUAAUAGAUUUGUUGGAUUUCUUUUCUUUGAUUUAAAAAGUGUUUAAAAAACCAAAGUCUUUUUUCUUUAUUAGUUUCUGAAUAAAAAUCAUUAUGAAGAAGAUUUUUAUCAAGCUCAAAAUUUUUUUCAAUUACAUUUAUGACAUUUUCCGUGACUGCAGAAAAAGUAGGAGAGGUUGGAGGAGAAUGUUCCUUCUCUUCCUGUCUUUGUUCAUGUUGACUACUAGUGUAAAUAGGGUGAGGAACACUAGUGGUAUAGUCAACAGAUCGUAUAGAAGUGCUAGGUAUAUCUGAAGUAGAAAACCUAGGUUGACUUUGAAAUGAGAGAUUUAUAAUAGAAUGGAUUUUUGUAAAUUUUCUUUCCAAUGAUGGAAUACUUGAGCACGACUCUUUAUCGGAAAAUCUGAUUGAAACAGAUCUUCUAAAUGAUAGUUUGACUUUUCCAUCUGAAUACUGAGUCACAUUUUGUAACUCUGUAUUUGGCUCAAGUUGUUUUGGAAUUGCUGGUGGAGCGGCUCCUUCAAGAAUCCAUUCCUCUGGAAGAUGGACAUCUUUCCAUUGGAUUGGUUUUGGAAUGACAGUGUUGGCUCUAGAUAGAUCAGUCUGCAAGAGAAGAGUUUCAUCUCUUUUCGACUGGAAUUUAUGUUGUGUGCUGAAUGCAGUGAUCAUUGCUUUAUAAGAGAUUUUAAAAAUCAAAGCAACUGGGAUGGAUCCCUCAAUCAUAUUGUAAUUAUGAGUCUUGAUUUGUAAAAUCAUGCUUUUUAAAAUAUUUUUAUCUUUAAGAGAAAUUGUUAUGUUUGGAUAACAGUCAAAUGAAAUUGGACCUUUACAAAGACUGGAUUCGAUGCUACUUAGCAAAGAAUCAUUAAAAGAGAUGAAUCGCCCAUCUCUUAGGACAACAAGGAUAGAAGUAUCCAAGCCUUCUUUGGUUAAGGGUUUUAUUCCGACUUGAAUUAGGCCGAUGUGAAUAUAAUUGAAAUUCUUUUCUUUUAAUUUCUUUAAAUAAUGCUCAGAAAACAAGUGAAUUAUUUCAAAUGGAUUUAAAAGAGUUAUGUCACGUUCUUCAGUCUUUAUAAUAUAAUCAUUUUUUAAGAAAUCAAGCUUUUUUGUUCUGUAAAUCUUUUCUUUCGAAAUUUUUGGAAGUUCUCAACAAUCAAUUGCUUUAUCAAAGUUCUCAAUAAAGAAUUCUUCUGAACUCACAACAUGCUUUGAAUCACUAGUCUUCCCGGAAGAAGAGCUAGAAAAGGAAGAUGCUCUACAGUGUAUAAGUUCCAUGAAAAAAAAACCUAUGGUCUAUUUAUGGUUUUGAAAGAAUGGCUACAGGUAUGGUUUUACAGCCCUAUGCGGAAAACUUAUCCUAAGACGGGACUUACUACCAGUAAAGAAUUCACCACACAACAAAACUUCAAAAUAAAACACAAGUCUUUAAACACAAGAUUUAUAAACUGAAUUACACUAUCCUCCCCUUGGCUCUGAUACAAGAAGGAAAUAAUUGAUAUUGUAUCAGAGCCAGCCAGGGUUCGAGCCGCGGGGGAGGAAUGGGCUUAAUAUAUAUCCCAGUCACUGUUACUGGGGCCCGCACCCAUGUGGUGACUCUACCAACACCCAUGUGGGUGAUGUGGCAUUAACGUGAAGGCGUUACCUGGUGAUGGGCGGAUUGCCUACUUAAGUAUAAAGUAGCGCCCCUCCUAACAGCUUAAGCUUUUGGGUACGAUUGGUAAGCGCCUUAAGAUGGUAUGCACCCUAGACUUUUUAGGGUGCAUACACAAUACCUCACAAUUGUGAGGUAUGGAUUCUAACCACUAGGCUAAAGCCUAAUGGCUUGCAGAGCAUCCUGUUUUAAACGUUGGAUCUAAUAGUGCAGUUUGUUCAAAACAAACAUAUCAUCCAAACUACAUAAGGAAACAUAACAAAGAGAUGGACAAAGAACUUAAAAACGGGAGAUAAGACGAUAACCGUCUUCAGGUUCAAAAUCAAAGACACGCGAACGUAGUAUAUGUACGCAAAGAAAGACAGAAAACCGAACAUGGGCUCCUGAGCUGCUCCUCACAAUCCCCAUAAAAGCACCAAGUUGAUAGCAACCAAAUCAGUGAGGUAAAAAUAGAAAAAAAAUGAGCCGUCCACAUGUUUUGGUAAUGCCAGCUCCAGCACAAGGCCAUGUAAUUCCUUUACUGGAGUUUUCACAGUGUCUGGCGAAACAUGGCUUCCGAGUCACAUUUGUUAACGCGGAUUAC
RNAcentral lists this long non-coding RNA (34881 nucleotides) under Citrus maxima (pomelo). RNAcentral's name for it is "long non-coding RNA (CMAX_LNC001414)". The record is from RNAcentral. Lineage: Eukaryota; Viridiplantae; Streptophyta; Magnoliopsida; Sapindales; Rutaceae.